CAGUAGCCGCGGGAAUACGAAGGGGGCUAGCGUUGCUCGGAAUUACUGGGCGUAAAGCGCGUGUAGGCGGGUCCUUAAGUCAGGGGUGAAAUGCCAAGGCUCAACCUUGGAACUGCCUUUGAUACUGGGGAUCUUGAGUCCGGGAGAGGUGAGUGGAACUGCGAGUGUAGAGGUGAAAUUCGUAGAUAUUCGCAAGAACACCAGUGGCGAAGGCGGCUCACUGGCCCGGAACUGACGCUGAGACGCGAAAGCGUGGGGAGCAAACAGGAUUAGAUACCCGUGUAGUCCCUGUCUCUUAUAC
RNAcentral lists this ribosomal RNA (301 nucleotides) under uncultured bacterium. RNAcentral's name for it is "partial 16S ribosomal RNA". It matches the Rfam family "Bacterial small subunit ribosomal RNA", at positions 509 to 807 of the family's 1533-position model. The record is from RNAcentral.